Molecule: ribosomal RNA, 497 nt
Filed under: uncultured bacterium
Lineage: Bacteria
Description: partial 16S ribosomal RNA
Rfam family: Bacterial small subunit ribosomal RNA
Source: RNAcentral
GAUGAACGCUGGCGGCGUGCCUAAUACAUGCAAGUCGAGCGAACGGACGAGAAGCUUGCUUCUCUGAUGUUAGCGGCGGACGGGUGAGUAACACGUGGAUAACCUACCUAUAAGACUGGGAUAACUUCGGGAAACCGGAGCUAAUACCGGAUAAUAUUUUGAACCGCAUGGUUCAAAAGUGAAAGACGGUCUUGCUGUCACUUAUAGAUGGAUCCGCGCUGCAUUAGCUAGUUGGUAAGGAAACGGCUUACCAAGGCAACGAUGCAUAGCCGACCUGAGAGGGUGAUCGGCCACACUGGAACUGAGACACGGUCCAGGCUCCUACGGGAGGCAGCAGUAGGGAAUCUUCCGCAAUGGGCGAAAGCCUGACGGAGCAACGCCGCGUGAGUGAUGAAGGUCUUCGGAUCGUAAAACUCUGUUAUUAGGGAAGAACAUAUGUGUAAGUAACUGUGCACAUCUUGACGGUACCUAAUCAGAAAGCCACGGCUAACUACGUG